UUUGAAAUAUACUUUUCUAAAUGUCAUUACUGUCAUUUUAGAUCAGUUUAAUGCAUCCUUGCUGAAUACAGGUAAAAAAAAAAAAAAAAAUUGUUUAAAACAAUUAAAUUGUGUAUUAAUUAUUCAGUUUAAAUCACAUAUGUACAUUCAUUUCUUAAGAUAUUUUUUAGGUUCAGCUUUUUAAUAUGAGCUCUUAAUUAUACUGUACAUUGCAAGUGAUUUUAAGAACCAAUUUCAGUACCUUAACAACCAAAAAAAGAGAUUAAGUAUUUAAUUAUUUUAUUAAACUAUUUGAAAAUGCGAAUAAAUUAAAUCAGUCCAUUAUUAACGCUAAUAAUAAUAUUAAAGAAAAUAAUAUUUUAAAAUAUUGGCAUGCAUCCUUCAAAUAUGUUUCAAUUAAGUACUGCUUUAAAAGGGUCAAGUGAAAACUGAGUGGAUUCUGACUAACUUAAACACCUCUGAUUGGCCAUUGCAUAUUACUGUUCACAUAAAGCGAUAUAAAUAUGCACAGAAGCGUUUGAAAGCAGUAGCCUAUCAGCGAGUACUGAACUGAGUCUGUACUUGGUACUGCAGAAAGGCUGAUUGUUACAUUUUUAAAAAUUCAGUACUUGGUACAGAAGUACUGAUGAUGUAAUUUCAAAAUCUGAAGACAGAAAACAAUAGUCUGACUUUAGCUUUGUGAAAUUAUUCUACAUAAAACAUAUCUGCACAAAACAAAACCAGCAGACGGACUGAAUGAGAAAGCAAAUUCACUCUCUGACAGCAACCCAAUUCAAUAUUAAGGAUUUUCUUCCAAUAUUUUGCUCAUUAUGAACAAAUGAGCUGCUCUGCCAGCUACAGUAUUUUCCCCUCUCUGUGUCCAUCUUUAGCAUCUUUGGUCUCUGUUAACGUCCCGUUUACAGUCGUUGUAAUAUUUCCACACAAAUUACAUUUUGGAAAAUGCUUGCAAUUCAGUUUGUGUGCAAGUCCGGAACAGGUGGGUGCCAAUUUAUGGCCGUUCGAAAGGUU
Cyprinus carpio (common carp) is the source of this 1008-nucleotide long non-coding RNA. NCBI's taxonomy places the organism in Eukaryota, Metazoa, Chordata, Actinopteri, Cypriniformes, Cyprinidae. The record is from Ensembl.